This 492-nucleotide ribosomal RNA is filed under the name uncultured bacterium. Its description in RNAcentral is "partial 16S ribosomal RNA". It matches the Rfam family "Bacterial small subunit ribosomal RNA", at positions 29 to 507 of the family's 1533-position model. The record is from RNAcentral.
AGUGAACGCUGGCGGUAGGCCUAACACAUGCAAGUCGAACGGCAGCACAGUAAGAGCUUGCUCUUACGGGUGGCGAGUGGCGGACGGGUGAGGAAUACAUCGGAUUCUUCUUUUUCGUGGGGGAUAACGUAGGGAAACUUACGCUAAUACCGCAUACUACCUACGGGUGAAAUCAGGGGAUCUUCGGACCUUGCGCGUUUCAAUUAGCCGAUGUCGGAUUAGCUUGUUGGCGGGGUAAAGGCCCACCAAGGCGACGAUCCGUAGCUGGUCUGAGAGGAUGAUCAGCCACACUGGAACUGAGACACGGUCCAGACUCCUACGGGAGGCAGCAGUGGGGAAUAUUGGACAAUGGGCGCAAGCCUGAUCCAGCCAUACCGCGUGGGUGAAGAAGGCCUUCGGGUUGUAAAGCCCUUUUGUUGGGAAAGAAAAGCAGCAGGUUAAUACCCCGCUGUUCUGACGGUACCCAAAGAAUAAGCACCGGCUAACUUCGUG